GAGUUUGAUCAUGGCUCAGAACGAACGCUGGCGGCAUGCCUAACACAUGCAAGUCGAACGAAGUCUUCGGACUUAGUGGCGCACGGGUGCGUAACGCGUGGGAAUCUGCCCUUGGGUACGGAAUAACUCAGAGAAGUUUGUGCUAAUACCGUAUAAUGUCUUCGGACCAAAGAUUUAUCGCCCAAGGAUGAGCCCGCGUAAGAUUAGCUAGUUGGUGAGGUAAGAGCUCACCAAGGCGACGAUCUUUAGCUGGUCUGAGAGGAUGAUCAGCCACACUGGGACUGAGACACGGCCCAGACUCCUACGGGAGGCAGCAGUGGGGAAUAUUGGACAAUGGGCGAAAGCCUGAUCCAGCAAUGCCGCGUGAGUGAUGAAGGCCUUAGGGUUGUAAAGCUCUUUACCCGGAUGAUAAUGACAGUACCGGGAGAAGUAAGCUCCGGCUAACUCCGUGGCCAGCAGCAGCCGCCGU
Molecule: ribosomal RNA, 469 nt
Filed under: uncultured microorganism
Description: bacterial SSU rRNA
Rfam family: Bacterial small subunit ribosomal RNA
Source: RNAcentral